UUACGUACUAGUUGUCAGUGUCCUAGAGAUGAAACAAUGCUAGCUGAUUAUCCUACCUCUGUUAAUACUACCUGAGGAAUGAUUUUUUUUAAAGCGCUACCCAUUUCUCCCUCCCUCGACCUUUCUCCCCUCAAGGCGAUCGAUAUUUUCCGUGCUUCUUCUCCAUCGUAUUCUCCGUCUGCGUUUUUUCUUCUCGGCGACCGCAUUUUUUUUCUUUGGCAUACUCUCCGUCUGCGGUGUGUUUUCUUGUUUUUUCUUACUGCGUUUUUUUUUCUUCAUCGUACCUUCUAUUCUUUUCCGAAAAAAUUUUGAACCCAUUUUUUUUUCCCAAAACAUUUUUUAGAUAAAUGUUACGAUCUCCACAUUUUCUUUUGUCUACAUUGCAAAUAAUGAUUUUGGCAGUUACCUUUGAAACGGUUUUUUUUUAAUCAAAAUCCUAGUUUAUCCUAUAUAAAGACUUUUUUGUUCAUAGCAGUUGUCGGAAGACUGUAAGUCGUUGGUUUCUUCUCUAUAUGUUAUUCUCAGGUAUUUCCUAUUGACAUCAUUAUUUAGAACUUGAAUGUUUUUAUUUUUCUCUGUUAUUGAUUUUAUCGGUUCUUAUUUUUUUUGUUCUUUAUUCUCUUAAAAAUCGGAUGUUUGUUUUUUUAUUUUUGAUAAUCGCAUGUUUGUUUUUUUCGCUAUCUCACUUAUUUGUCUAAAAAAUCUGAUGUCUGUUUAUAACGUUUUGUGUUUUUCUCUGUAUUUGAACAUGUUAUAUUUUUUUGGUUUCUAUUUUUUUUUAAAAUGUGUUGUUUUUUAUUUCUCUCUGUUGUUAUUUAUCUGUAUUUUUUAAUUUUUUAUAAUCACAUGUUCGUUUAGUUCACUAUUUUUUAUUUAUUUAAACAUUUAAUGUUUGUUUAUAUCUCGGUUUUCUUCAAUGUAGUUGCCAUAGAAAAUAUCUGUUAAUUUCCUGCUGGCCCAACGUCGGCGGUGAUAAUGCUGAUGUAUCCCUGAGCAUUGGAUGGAAGAAAUGGUUGGGCGUCGCCAUAUGGGAACUAGGGUUUUCCGCCUAGGAGAAAAGGGGCACCCAACUGAUAAAACGGUCACUAAGAAAAGAGAGGAAGAGAGAGUGAACUUUUGUUAAUCACUAAUGGUGAUUAACUUUGUAUUAGAGUAAUUAAAUCAUUGUUUAUCGAAUUGUAUUUAUACAUUUAAUCAGUGAAUGCUUAACUAACUAAUCUCUCACUAGUUAAUUAACAUUUAACUAAAUCUAAUACUAAACUUCACUUGUGGGCCGGACUUCACGCUGUGGUCUUCCAUGAGUCCAGUCUGUGGCUGUUAAUUCAGUUACGACAUUUCUGCAAGAACACAUAAGUUAUUCAUGAAUGACAACCAAGUCCUUCAUUUAAUUUGGUUUUAUUUUUGGGUCAUUUAACCAAGUAUCCUUAUAUGUUUAAUUAAUAAAGAACACUUGGAUAUUUAUAACCCAGUCCUUUCAUGAAUCUCUUUAACUGAUUUCGUAACGCCCUUUUAUUUAUUUUUAUUACGUUUGGGUCCUAAUAACGUUUUACUGAAACAUUUAUGAAUUAGACCCUGUUAGUUAAUUACGUACUAACAGUUAAUUCUGUUUUAACACGCCCUUUGGGUUGUGUUUAUUUCAAUUAGGUCCUUAGCUCAUGUUUAUUGUAAAUUGUUGUUUUAACCCUGGAUUUCAGCAUAAUAAUCUUAUACUCCCCUCUCAAGCUUUGGAAUAUGCAUUGUAUAUUCCUAGUUUGACAGAGAAUGCUGAGAUCUCAUUCUCUUCUAGGGAUUUUGUGAAUAUAUCUGCAAGUUGGUAUUUAGUUCCUACUUGCUUUAGUAAGAUUAUCCCUUUAUCUAUCAUUUCUCUAAUGGAAUGACAUGAGAUCUCUAUAUGCUUACUCCUCUCAUGAAAUACUGGAUUAUUAGUAAGAUAUAUUGCUGAUUUAUUGUCACAGUAUAGAGAAGUGGGCAUCUGUAUUUCCAACUUUAGAUCUUUAAAAAGUUGGUGUAGCCAAAGCACUUCACAUUGUGCUUUACUGAUGGCUCUGUAUUCAGCCUCACAAGAUGAGAGUGAAACAGUGUUUUGUUUCUUAGACUUCCAAGAAAUUAAGGAUGUUCCUAAAAACAUGCAAUAUCUUGAUAAUGACUUCCUUCUCACUGAGCAAGAAGCCCAAUCUGAAUCACAAUAUCCAUGAAGAUUCAUUUCAUUUUUGCUUUUAUAUAAAAUGCCCUGGUCAGGAGCAUUUUUAAGAUAUCUUAUCACCUUAAACAGGACUUGAAAGUGAAUUUCAUUUGGAUUUCCCAUGAACUGGCUCAGCCAAUGAACAGGGAAACUUAGGUCAGGUCUAGUGAUAUUUAAGUAUAUGAGCUUGCCUACUAAUGACCUAUAUAGAGUUGGGUCUGUUAUUGCCUUUGCUUGCUCAUUUCUUAAAUUCACAUACCUUUCCAUGGGUACUUUUGAUGGCUUUGCAUCCAUUUGACCACUUUUUUCAAGUAUGCCUAAUGCAUAUUUUCUCUGUGAUAUAUAUAUCCCUUCUGAUGGAUAUGAAACCUCAAUGCCUAAGAAAUAGGAUAAUUUUCCUAAAUCUUUUAUUUUAAAUUUUUUUUCAAUGUUUUUUUUUAUUAGAAACAUUUCUGUUUCAUUGUUCCCUGUAAUGAUAAUGUUAUCUACAUAUACUAACAAGUAUAUCAGAUUAUCAUUAUUGGUUUUUACAAACAGUGAAUAAUCAGAAGGUGUUUGUACAAAACCCAUUUUAAGUAAAACUCCCUUUAACUUAGCAAACCAGUUUCUGGAUGCUUGUUUUAAGCCAUAGAGAGACUUAUUUAGUUUACACACCCUUUUGUCUUCUUCUUUGAGGAGUCCUUGGGGUGGUUUGAGAUAUACUUCUUCAUGAAGGUCUCCAUGGAAAAAGGCAUUGUUAACAUCUAGUUGAUAGAUGUUCCAUUUUUUUAUUGCUGAAAUUACAAUUAUUGUUUUGAUUGUGGUCAUUUUGACUACAUGAGCAAAAGUUUCAUAGUAGUCAAAACCCUCUUUUUGGGUGAACCCUUUUGCUACAAAUCUAGCCUUGUAUCUCUCUAUUUCACCAUUAGGCCUAUACUUAAUUUUAAAAAUCCACUUGGAUCCUAUAAGCUUCCUAUCCUGAGGAAGUGUAGUUAAAGUCCAAGUUUCAUUUAGAAGGAGUGCAUCCAUCUCUUUCUUCAUUGCUUCUACCCAAUUUGAGUUCUUAGAAGCUUCUGAGAAAGUUUGAGGUUCAUCAUGUAUUGAUAUUUGAUGAAGAAAUUUUUUAUGAUUUUUUUUAAUCUUAUUGUAUGAAACUUGAUUACAUAUUGGGUAUUUCCCUUUUUUUUUUGUUAUUUUUAUAUUCUUUAUCAUCUUCAAGAAAAAAAUCCUUAUAAGCUUUUGGAAUAUGGAUGACUCUGCCUGUUCUUGUUUUUUUUCAUUUACUUGAUUUUUUGAACUUGUGCAGGGGAUAUCUCUUUUUUGUUCAAGAUAACCAACUGUCAUUUCAGUUGUACUAUUUUGUUUUUCUACUUAUACUCCAAUGUCUGAUGAUCUUGUGUCAUCAUUUUGAAUACUUUCAGAAUUGGAGAAAUUCUGAGUAUUUUCAGAGUUUUGGGCAGUAUGCUCAGGAUUCCUGUUGUUUUGUGAGUUAUAAUCUAACUCAUCAUUUCAUCAUUCCUGUUUCUGUCCACACUAACAUUUUCCACAUGAUUGGGUGUAUGAAUUAGUGUAUUAUUUGAUUCAGACUGGAUUGGAUUUAUUUGAUCAUUUUUUGAUCUAUUGUCUGAACUUUUUUUAGUAUUUCCAGAGCUUCUGAUAUUCUGUGAGUUAUGACUUAACUCAACGUGUUCAUUAUUUUUGCUCACACUGAUAUUUUUCAUUUGAUUAGGCAUAUGAAUUUGUGAGUUAUGAGUUCCAGAUUGUUCUGGAUCUAUUUGAUCAUUUUCUGAUCUAUUUUCUGAAUGGUUUUUCUUGUUUUAUGAUCUUAUUUCCAGAUCAUUGAUUAUUUUUUUGUUUUAUUUUUAUGAUGUUUUUUAUAGUCAUACCAUGACUUAUUUACAUCAUCAUGAUAUAAAAAAAUAUUGUUAUAGCAGUUUUGAAAAUUGUUCUCUUUUUGUGUAUUUUCUAGACUAAGUUCAUAUUUGAAUGGGAAUAUAGAUUCUCUAAAUGACACAUCCCUAGAGAUAAUGAACUUUCUAUCUGAAAUUCUUAAUAUAAGAUAUCCUUUAAUUCCUUUGGGAUAUCCCAUAAAGAUCCCUUGACAAGUUUUUGGUGAAAACUUGUUUUCUACUUGUGUGACUGAGGCAUAACAUAGGCAACCAAAAGAUUUUAGAUUUUCAUAAUUUGGUAUUUUCUUAUGAAUGACUUCAUAGGGUGUUUUGUUUUCUAAGGUUUUGGAGGCAAUUCUAUUAAUUAAGUGGGCUGCUGUUAGUAUGCAUUCCCCCCAAUAUUCUAAUGGAAUAUUCCCUUGAAAAUGUAAUGCCCUUGCAAUAUUUAAAAGGUGCCUAUGUUUUCUCUCUACCCUUGCAUUUUGGGCAGGUGUGCAGGGGCAUGAGAACUGUUGAACAAUCUCAUGUUUUUCAGUCAUUUUUUUUAAAUUGUUAGAAGUGAAUUCUCCUCCAUUAUCACUUCUAAUGAUUUUUAUUUUAGUUUUGAAUUGAGUUUUAACCAUUUUGUAAAACUUUUCAACACACUCUAUAUCCAUUGAUUUAUUUUUGACUAGAUAUAUCCAAGUACCUCUACUUAGAUCUUCUACAAUGGUUAAGAAAUAAUUAAACCCAUCAUGGGUCAUUAUUGGAAAUUCCCCCCAUAUAUCUAUGUGAAUUAGAUCAAAAAUAUUCUCAGAUUUAGAAGAACUAAUUAUAUAUUUAAGUUUAGCUUGUUUAGUUAAUGGACAUAUUCUACAAUCAUACUGAAUAGACUUUAUUUUAUUGAAAACUGAAUUUUUGUCAAAAAAUUUAUUCCUACAAUCUGGAAUUUUUUUGUUCUUAUUACAAUCUGAAAUAACACUAUUACAAUCUGUAUUUUUGUAUCUAAUCUUGUAUUGAGAAACUAAUGUCUUCAUUUUUUCAGAAGAAAUGUGUCCCAAUCUUUGAUGUCAAGUCUUGAAGUCUAUGACCGAGUUUGCUAAAAAAUGAUGUGGGGUGAAAAAAUACAGUCCAUCAGUAGACUCACCCUUGCCAAUCAUUAAAUAUUUUCUCGGAUUUGUUUUCCUGAAAUUGAAAACAAUGAUCAUUAAAUAUUACUUUAAUGUCAUUGUCUAGAGUUAACUUGCUUAUAGCUAUUAGGUUAACUUUAAACUCAGGGAUAUACAAUACAUUUUUUAGUAUCAAAUUUUCAGAUAUUUUUAUGCAACCCAUUCCUUGAACCAUUAAUAUUUUACCACUAGGUAUAGUUACAAAGUGGUUAUAUUCUUUGAUCAAUGGGUUGGUGAAUAAGUGUAGAUUACCUGUCAUAUGUUGUGGUGCUCCUGUAUCUACAAUCCAUUUAUCAAUAUAAUUAUUUGUAUUGAAAGAAAAAGAAAAUUUAUUACCAGUAUUUAUUUUUGUUGAGGAAAUGAGUUCCUUGAAUAGUUGGAUUUCCUCUUGAGUUAGCACUAGUUGUUGAUUACUUGAAGAAGUUGCUAGAUUUGCAAAUUCUGAAACAGUGGUAGUGCUGCCCUGGUUUUUCUUUGCUUGGAUUUUUUUUUGUAAUUUUUCUUUUCCUGGUUUGCCUACUGAAACGGUUGUUGGCAGAUACCAUGUUAAUUUCCUGCUGGCCCAACGUCGGCGGUGAUAAUGCUGAUGUAUCCCUGAGCAUUGGAUGGAAGAAAUGGUUGGGCGUCGCCAUAUGGGAACUAGGGUUUUCCGCCUAGGAGAAAAGGGGCACCCAACUGAUAAAACGGUCACUAAGAAAAGAGAGGAAGAGAGAGUGAACUUUUGUUAAUCACUAAUGGUGAUUAACUUUGUAUUAGAGUAAUUAAAUCAUUGUUUAUCGUGUAUUUAUACAUUUAAUUAAUGAAUGCUUAACUAACUAAUCUCUCACUAGUCAAUUAACAUUUAACUAAAUCUAAUACUAAACUUUACUUGUGGGCCGAACUUCACGCUGUGGCCUUUCAGUCUGUGGCUGUUAAUUCAGUUACGACAUUUAUGCAAAAACACAUAAGUUAUUCAUUAAUGACAACUAGGUCCUUCAUUUAACUUGGUUUUAUUUUUGGGUCAUUUAACCAAGUAUCCUUAUAUGUUUAAUUAAUAAAGAAUAUUUGGAUAUUUAUAACCCAGUCCUUUCAUGAAUCUCUUUAACUGAUUUCGUAACGCCCUUUUAUUUAUUUUUAUUACGUUUGGAUCCUAAUAACGUUUUACUGAAACAUUUAUGAAUUAGACCCUGUUAGUUAAUUACUAACAGUUAAUUCUGUUUUAACACGCCCUUUGGGUUGUGUUUAUUUCAAUUAG
This 6432-nucleotide long non-coding RNA is filed under the name Zostera marina. Its description in RNAcentral is "long non-coding RNA (ZMAR_LNC004169)". The record is from RNAcentral. Lineage: Eukaryota; Viridiplantae; Streptophyta; Magnoliopsida; Alismatales; Zosteraceae.